RNAcentral lists this ribosomal RNA (253 nucleotides) under uncultured bacterium. RNAcentral's name for it is "partial 16S ribosomal RNA". It matches the Rfam family "Bacterial small subunit ribosomal RNA", at positions 524 to 776 of the family's 1533-position model. The record is from RNAcentral.
UACAGAGGGUGCGAGCGUUAAUCGGAAUUACUGGGCGUAAAGCGCACGUAGUCGGCUUUGCAAGUCGGGUGUGAAAUCCCCGGGCUCAACCUGGGAACUGCAUCCGAGACUGCAUUGCUAGAGUAUGGGAGAGGGAAGCGGAAUUUCUGGUGUAGCAGUGAAAUGCGUAGAUAUCAGAAGGAACAUCAGUGGCGAAGGCAGCUCGCUGGGACGUUACUGACACUGAGGCGCGAAAGCGUGGGGAGCGAACAGG